GACGAACGCUGGCGGCGUGCUUAACACAUGCAAGUCGAACGGAAAGGCCCUGCUUUUGUGGGUUGCUCGAGUGGCGAACGGGUGAGUAACACGUGAGUAACCUGCCCUUGACUUUGGGAUAACUUCAGGAAACUGGGGCUAAUACCGGAUAGGAGCUCCUGCUGCAUGGUGGGGGUUGGAAAGUUUCGGCGGUUGGGGAUGGACUCGCGGCUUAUCAGCUUGUUGGUGGGGUAGUGGCUUACCAAGGCUUUGACGGGUAGCCGGCCUGAGAGGGUGACCGGCCACAUGGGGACUGAGAUACGGCCCAGACUCCUACGGGAGGCAGCAGGGGGGAAUAUUGCACAAUGGGCGGAAGCCUGAUGCAGCAACGCCGCGUGCGGGAUAACGGCCUUCGGGUUGUAAACCGCUUUCGCCUGUGACGAAGCGUGAGUGACGGUAAUGGGUAAAGAAGCACCGGCUAACUACGUG
This 468-nucleotide ribosomal RNA is filed under the name uncultured bacterium. RNAcentral describes it as "partial 16S ribosomal RNA". It matches the Rfam family "Bacterial small subunit ribosomal RNA", at positions 28 to 507 of the family's 1533-position model. The record is from RNAcentral.